Molecule: unclassified non-coding RNA, 264 nt
Filed under: uncultured fungus
Lineage: Eukaryota; Fungi
Description: sequence contains ITS2
Rfam family: 5.8S ribosomal RNA (bases 1-52)
Source: RNAcentral
AACGCACAUUGCGCCCGCCAGUAUUCUGGCGGGCAUGCCUGUCUGAGCGUCAUUUCAACCCUCGUAACCAGCUUGCUGGAUGCGGUGUUGGGGAUCGGCCACCCGUUCUGGGCGGCCGUCCCUUAAAUAGAGUGGCGGUUGCGCUGUGACCUCCUCUGCGUAGUAGCAAUAUCUCGCAGGCGGAUAGCGGUGUAACCACGCCGUAAAACCCCCAACUCUUCUUUGGUUGACCUCAGAUCAGGUAGGAAUACCCGCUGAACUUAA